This 449-nucleotide unclassified non-coding RNA is filed under the name uncultured fungus. Its description in RNAcentral is "partial contains small subunit ribosomal RNA, internal transcribed spacer 1, and 5.8S ribosomal RNA". The stretch from base 401 to 449 matches the Rfam family "5.8S ribosomal RNA", at positions 1 to 49 of the family's 154-position model. Lineage: Eukaryota; Fungi. The record is from RNAcentral.
UCAAACUUGGUCAUUUAGAGGAAGUAAAAGUCGUAACAAGGUUUCCGUAGGUAAGUAGAAACUUUCCAUCUUACACCCCCUAUAGCCCAUAGUUGUUGCAUGAAUGCAGACAACGGAGGCGGACAAAAUUAAUAGUUUAUUAAUUUCACAUAUUUAUCACUUAAUAUUUUUCAAUGCUUGAAUAAUGUGCUGACUUUUUACUUUUAGGUGAACCUGCGGAAGGAUCAUUAUGGAGUGGUAAACCCCCCGUAAAAAGGGAGAGGGACCUCCUGUCCUUGCAGGCUCCUUUAUUAAGGGGCUUUUUUUUUGACUUUCUGCUUCGGUGGGAUUAACCCACCGGAACAACCUCAAAACUCUGAAAAAACUUUUCUGUCUGAGGAUGUCUUUUAUAAUAAAAAAAAACUUUCAACAACGGAUCUCUUGGUUCUGGCAUCGAUGAAGAACGCAGC